UGGAGGCCUGGUAUCUCUGUUGCUGCGGGGGGGGGGGGGGGGACUCGGGAGGAAAGCCGGUCCAGCCCCUCCCCAGCCCGGCAGCACUCUGCUCUCGCCUUCCAGCAGCUCUCAGGGCAAAACUGCAAAGCCUCUCCGAUCUCCAGGUGAAUUUGCAAAAGACUCCCCCCCCCCCCCCACCCUUCCACACGCGAACCCCCAUCACUAACCGGACUCCGUCGCUUGAGGGUCACAUUCUUCCACAGCAAGAGACAGGGCUCUUGUGCAUUGAAGCAACUGCAAGAAGGAGGAAGAAAAAAGCAAACAAAAUGCUUUUUAAAAGAUGUUUUGGAAACAGGGAUGGAGAACACUGAUGCAGAGAGUCUUAGGCGACCCCUGUGAAAGGGUCGUUCGACCCCCAGGUUGAGAACCAUUGGACUAAAGGAACUGUCCCUUUGUACCCUUUUUCCUGGAGCAUCUGACUGGCCACUUUGGGAUACAGGGUUAGAUAAACCUUUGGUCCUAUCCAGUAAGUUUCUUCUUAAGUUCUUGAACACCCUUCCUCCAGCUGUCCGGACCCUGCGGGACCUGGGUGAGUUCCGCAGGGCCUGCAAGACUGUGUUGUUCCACUGGGCCUUUGGAGUGUCCAGCUGCUGAACGGUGCCCCCUCA
Long non-coding RNA from Sphaerodactylus townsendi, 650 nucleotides. RefSeq lists it as uncharacterized. Lineage: Eukaryota; Metazoa; Chordata; Lepidosauria; Squamata; Sphaerodactylidae. The transcript is spliced from 3 exons. The record is from RefSeq and is a predicted model, not a curated record.